AGCUUUGUGCCGUGACAAUAUGGUAGCCAAUGGGUUUAUUCUAGGUGUGGUUAUUGCUAAUUGAAAACUUUUCCAAUAGCCUGCCAUGACAACUUGCAAGAUAGUCAGCAUUGGCAAGUUUUGACAGUCACUAUGGAGA
Molecule: small nuclear RNA, 139 nt
Organism: Callithrix jacchus (white-tufted-ear marmoset)
Lineage: Eukaryota; Metazoa; Chordata; Mammalia; Primates; Cebidae
Gene: U4
Rfam family: U4 spliceosomal RNA
About the family: U4 small nuclear RNA (U4 snRNA) is a component of the major U2-dependent spliceosome.
Source: Ensembl